This is a small nuclear RNA of Artibeus jamaicensis (Jamaican fruit-eating bat), 163 nucleotides long. RefSeq annotates it as U1 spliceosomal RNA. NCBI's taxonomy places the organism in Eukaryota, Metazoa, Chordata, Mammalia, Chiroptera, Phyllostomidae. The transcript has a single exon. The record is from RefSeq and is a predicted model, not a curated record.
AUACUUUCCUGGCAGGAGAGAUACCAUGUCGUGAAGGUGGUUUUCCCAGGGUGAGGCUCACCCAUUGCACUCUGGGUGUGCUGACUCCUGGGAUUUCCCCAAAUGUGGGAAACUGGACUGUGUGAUUUGUGGUAGUGGGGGACUGUGUUCAUGCUCUCUCCUA